Molecule: ribosomal RNA, 792 nt
Filed under: uncultured bacterium
Lineage: Bacteria
Description: bacterial SSU rRNA
Rfam family: Bacterial small subunit ribosomal RNA
Source: RNAcentral
CAGUCGAACGAAACUUCUUUAUCACCGAGUGCUUGCACUCACCGAUAAAGAGUUGAGUGGCGAACGGGUGAGUAACACGUGGGCAACCUGCCCAAAAGAGGGGGAUAACACUUGGAAACAGGUGCUAAUACCGCAUAACCAUAGUUACCGCAUGGUAACUAUGUAAAAGGUGGCUAUGCUACCGCUUUUGGAUGGGCCCGCGGCGCAUUAGCUAGUUGGUGGGGUAAAGGCUUACCAAGGCAAUGAUGCGUAGCCGAACUGAGAGGUUGAUCGGCCACAUUGGGACUGAGACACGGCCCAAACUCCUACGGGAGGCAGCAGUAGGGAAUCUUCCACAAUGGGCGAAAGCCUGAUGGAGCAACGCCGCGUGGGUGAAGAAGGUCUUCGGAUCGUAAAACCCUGUUGUUAGAGAAGAAAGUGCGUGAGAGUAACUGUUCACGUUUCGACGGUAUCUAACCAGAAAGCCACGGCUAACUACGUGCCAGCAGCCGCGGUAAUACGUAGGUGGCAAGCGUUAUCCGGAUUUAUUGGGCGUAAAGGGAACGCAGGCGGUCUUUUAAGUCUGAUGUGAAAGCCUUCGGCUUAACCGGAGUAGUGCAUUGGAAACUGGGAGACUUGAGUGCAGAAGAGGAGAGUGGAACUCCAUGUGUAGCGGUGAAAUGCGCAGAUAUAUGGAAGAACACCAGUGGCGAAAGCGGCUCUCUGGUCUGUAACUGACGCUGAGGUUCGAAAGCGUGGGUAGCAAACAGGAUUAGAUACCCUGGUAGUCCACGCCGUAAACGAUGAAUGCUA